This is a long non-coding RNA of Humulus lupulus (European hop), 463 nucleotides long. RefSeq lists it as uncharacterized. The transcript is spliced from 3 exons. The record is from RefSeq and is a predicted model, not a curated record. Lineage: Eukaryota; Viridiplantae; Streptophyta; Magnoliopsida; Rosales; Cannabaceae.
AGACACCACUUGCAUGAAUAAGGUCAUAUGUCCUCGGAUAUGUGGAAAAAGCUUCACACCUGGUGGAAAAUAAUAUUAUUCUCAGAACACCAUCUUUAAUAUUAACGGAGCAAAAUUUACAGAUUCAAACAUCAGCAUGUGAUGACUAAACGGAAGAACUCUCACUAAGCAGCUGUGAGAAGCACAUAUCGCUAUGCCUACACCUAAGCAAUCUAAAAUCACGCAGAGGCAAAAGAUGGGCAACUUCUAAAUAAGAUAAGCUGAGAUAACACUAUAUCAGGAUAGUGGAGUCGAAGAUCAACAAAACAAGUACGGCCUUUUCACAGCUAUUGUAGGCAUGACAUUCAUGACCCAGAGUCUAGGAGAUUCAAGAGCGGCAGCAAAACUUCCCAGACCAGCAUUCAUGUCCAUGAUGUUGCGAUAUCUGCCAGAAUCAAUAAGCUUGUUGAUUCUCUUAUAAGCA